AUUUUCUUCCUCUUUCUCCCACAUCUUCCCCAUUUCUCUCCCUCUCUCCUCCAUUUCUUGUCCCUCACUUUCUCCUUGUCCUGCUGUCCCCAGAGCUCGCCUCUCCCUGAGACUGAGAACACGUCACUAUGUCAUGAUUAACCGGCCCAUGGGAACAGAAGCGCAGGGCCUUUCUCUGUUGAGACUUGGAGUGGAGACAUUUUUCAGGGGGCUUUGAGACCUUGGGAAAACCUCCUUUUCCUUCCCUCCUGUGAGCUUCACGCUAUCAGGGGAUGCAAGUCAGAUUCCUGGUCCUGGGCUCUCCUUCCUCUCAGAUGGUGGCAUGGAUAGGCUGAGAGCCUCUGCUACAGGAGACCUCACUACAGGAGACCUUUGCAGUUACCUAGCUAUGUGCCUAGGACUAAUAUACAGCAAUAUUAGUUACCGCUAAUACUUGAUAAUAUGUUUGUUACAUGUUUAUUUUAAAGGGAACUCUUAGCUUCCUCAGGGGUUCCAAGAGAAAUCAAGUGCACUCUGGAUGGAGAAUGGCAAGAAGACGCAGGAAAAAAAACAAAAACAAAAACAGCAGAUUGAAAACAAAGAUGGCUGCUCCAGGCACCCUGGUGCCCAGGCCCUGGGAACAAGCCUGGGUUCUCUGGGACCAGGCAACCAAGUGCUUCUAUUCCAGCUACUCAAGUGGUCUUGACAAUAUGUGCUUGCUGGUAAAAAAAUACCAGAGGCUCAGGUUAAAUGAGAGAAGGUUAUUAUUUUAUCUAGGAAACAAAGACUUUUAAUAUAGGUAUUUCCCAAAUUCUGUGUGGGACAUAUAUCUAUACUAAAAAAAAAAAGUUAAAAAAAAGAAAGAAAAGGCGUUCUUUGUUGACGACCUCCACAGCUAGCUGAAUAUCCCAUCUUCCUUUCAUCCCUCCAUCCCACACACUGACUGGGGCGAAGCCAUCCCUAAAGUUUUCUUUUCUCGUCUUUAUUUCCACUUUUUAAAAAAUGGUUAACCCACAUUUCUAGAGACUUCACCAGCCCACUGAUGCAAAUUAGCUCACUUAAAAAAAAAAAAAAAAUCAAUGUCUCUGGCUGGUUUUCUCACACAGGACUUUGUCCCCAGCAGCCAUAUCCUUCGAGCUCACUGCACAGCGCCCUCUAGGCCUUGGGAGGCUGCUGAGAGUCCUGCCCUUGGGAGCAGAAGCAGAGGCUGAGCCCUGGCGCCCUCUACUGGUAAGCUCCAGAUGACGACCAUGGGAGAUGCCCAGGGCAUGGCAGGCUCAACCAGCAAUCCUUCAGAGUCUUUUCUGAUGACAGCCGCAGAUGGCCUUGCCACCGCCGCGUCUGCACCCCCUUCCUUGUGGGCCCCUUUCUGGUUACAUAUAUUACCUGCGAAGAGGUAACAUUCAGUCCC
RNAcentral lists this long non-coding RNA (1390 nucleotides) under Mus pahari (shrew mouse). RNAcentral's name for it is "lncRNA (MGP_PahariEiJ_G0002327.1)". Lineage: Eukaryota; Metazoa; Chordata; Mammalia; Rodentia; Muridae. The record is from RNAcentral.